AAACUCAAAUGAAUUGACGGGGGCCCGCACAAGCGGUGGAGCAUGUGGUUUAAUUUCGAUGCAACGCGAAGAACCUUACCUACUCUUGACAUCCUGCGAACUUGUGAGAGAUCACUUGGUGCCUUCGGGAGCGCAGAGACAGGUGCUGCAUGGCUGUCGUCAGCUCGUGUUGUGAAAUGUUGGGUUAAGUCCCGUAACGAGCGCAACCCUUGUCCUUAUUUGCCAGCGGGUAAUGCCGGGAACUCUAAGGAGACUGCCGGUGACAAACCGGAGGAAGGUGGGGACGACGUCAAGUCAUCAUGGCCCUUACGAGUAGGGCUACACACGUGCUACAAUGGCCGGUACAAAGGGUUGCGAGCUCGCGAGAGUCAGCUAAUCCCGAAAAGCCGGUCUCAGUCCGGAUCGGAGUCUGCAACUCGACUCCGUGAAGUCGGAAUCGCUAGUAAUCGUGAAUCAGAAUGUCACGGUGAAUACGUUCCCGGGCCUUGCACACACCGCCCGU
This 502-nucleotide ribosomal RNA is filed under the name uncultured bacterium. RNAcentral describes it as "bacterial SSU rRNA". It matches the Rfam family "Bacterial small subunit ribosomal RNA", at positions 897 to 1397 of the family's 1533-position model. The record is from RNAcentral.